RNAcentral lists this ribosomal RNA (239 nucleotides) under uncultured bacterium. RNAcentral's name for it is "partial 16S ribosomal RNA". It matches the Rfam family "Bacterial small subunit ribosomal RNA", at positions 333 to 564 of the family's 1533-position model. The record is from RNAcentral.
GGUUCCCUACGGGGCGCAGCAGUAGGGAAUCUUCCACAAUGGACGAAAGUCUGAUGGAGCAACGCCGCGUGAGUGAAGAAGGGUUUCGGCUCGUAAAGCUCUGUUGGUAGUGAAGAAAGAUAGAGGUAGUAACUGGCCUUUAUUUGACGGUAAUUACUUAGAAAGUCACGGCUAACUACGUGCCAGCAGCCGCGGUAAUACGUAGGUGGCAAGCGUUGUCCGGAUUUUUUUGGCGUAAA